Molecule: non-coding RNA, 360 nt
Filed under: Pongo abelii (Sumatran orangutan)
Lineage: Eukaryota; Metazoa; Chordata; Mammalia; Primates; Hominidae
Source: RNAcentral
GAGAAGGCAUUUCAUUCUUGUUGCCCAGACUCCGUUUCAAAAAAGAAGAAAAGAAAAGAAACCAAAUUGAAAACCAGAGAGACCUGUUCUUUGGUUGGAGUUGUGCUGGUUGCCUUGCGGGGCCUUGUAAUGAGCUUGGGAUGGCGGGCCGCAUUAAGAGCAUGAGCAGCUCUGUUUCUUGACUGUCCCAAGUCAGGCCCAGGUGAAGAGCUUCAGAGCCAUCAACUUUUCACCCACACACAGGACCUGCUACCUCAUCCCCAGAAGAAAGAGCGGAGUCCAGGGCUGCCGGCUCCUAGAUCUAAGCUCCUGAUGCUCACCGUUUCACACCACACAGAGCUCAGGUAACCUGUCCUGAGC